CCGUGCUAGACGGGGAGAUGGCGGUGCCCUGUAACCCGCAAUCCGCCAUAGCGGGGUUGAAUUCCUGCUUGAGGUAUCAACAUGUGAGGUCUGCCUUGUUAAAGAGGCGUUGAAAAUUGGGUCCUUCGCAAUGGAAAGCUGCGAACCUGGUCAGGUCCGGAAGGAAGCAGCCAUAAGGAGUUUCUUCCAUGUGCCGAAGGGCAGCCUAAUUUGAGCUGGCUUUAGCAAGUAACGCUUGUUUGUUUUUAUCGAUAGCAGGUGCACGG
RNAcentral lists this signal recognition particle RNA (266 nucleotides) under Mesobacillus foraminis. RNAcentral's name for it is "signal recognition particle sRNA large type". It matches the Rfam family "Bacterial large signal recognition particle RNA". From Rfam's summary of the family: The signal recognition particle (SRP) is a universally conserved ribonucleoprotein involved in the co-translational targeting of proteins to membranes. Archaeal SRP consists of a 7S RNA and homologues of the eukaryotic SRP19 and SRP54 proteins. In most bacteria, the SRP consists of a 4.5S RNA and the Ffh protein (a homologue of the eukaryotic SRP54 protein). The record is from RNAcentral. Lineage: Bacteria; Bacillati; Bacillota; Bacilli; Caryophanales; Bacillaceae.